AAAAUCAUUGGGAUGAUAAAGUGUUUUUUUUAAGUAUAGCAAUUACCAUUAGACCAGAUUAGCAGACAAUCUGAAGCAGUGAAGCCAAGUUGGCUACUGAAAGAGAGAGCAGAUCUUUGCUCAUCUACCUUUUUGAUCUUUCAAGUCACUGUAUGUCCACAGUAGCCUUAAUUUGUCUGGUCCAGUGGCUUGUUUGAGUUGUAAUCAUCUAUUUGGUAGGUGGGACUUGCAGCAGCAGCAACAG
This is a long non-coding RNA of Sphaerodactylus townsendi, 244 nucleotides long. RefSeq lists it as uncharacterized. The transcript has 3 exons. NCBI's taxonomy places the organism in Eukaryota, Metazoa, Chordata, Lepidosauria, Squamata, Sphaerodactylidae. The record is from RefSeq and is a predicted model, not a curated record.